ACGGGGCCGCACAAGCGGUGGAGCAUGUGGUUAAUUCGAAGCAACGCGAAGAACCUUACCAGGUCUUGACAUCCCGAUGCUAUUCUAGAGAUAGAAAGUUACUUCGGUACAUCGGUGACAGGUGGUGCAUGGUUGUCGUCAGCUCGUGUCGUGAGAUGUUGGGUUAAGUCCCGCAACGAGCGCAACCCCUAUUGUUAGUUGCCAUCAUUCAGUUGGGCACUCUAGCGAGACUGCCGGUAAUAAACCGGAGGAAGGUGGGGAUGACGUCAAAUCAUCAUGCCCCUUAUGACCUGGGCUACACACGUGCUACAAUGGUUGGUACAACGAGUUGCGAGUCGGUGACGGCGAGCUAAUCUCUUAAAGCCAAUCUCAGUUCGGAUUGUAGGCUGCAACUCGCCUACAUGAAGUCGGAAUCGCUAGUAAUCGCGGAUCAGCACGCCGCGGUGAAUACGUUCCCGGGCCUU
This 464-nucleotide ribosomal RNA is filed under the name uncultured Streptococcus sp. RNAcentral's name for it is "bacterial SSU rRNA". It matches the Rfam family "Bacterial small subunit ribosomal RNA", at positions 917 to 1381 of the family's 1533-position model. Lineage: Bacteria; Bacillati; Bacillota; Bacilli; Lactobacillales; Streptococcaceae. The record is from RNAcentral.